Molecule: ribosomal RNA, 335 nt
Filed under: Bacillus thuringiensis
Lineage: Bacteria; Bacillati; Bacillota; Bacilli; Caryophanales; Bacillaceae
Description: bacterial LSU rRNA
Rfam family: Bacterial large subunit ribosomal RNA
Source: RNAcentral
GGUACGCGAGCUGGGUUCAGAACGUCGUGAGACAGUUCGGUCCCUAUCCGUCGUGGGCGUAGGAAAUUUGAGAGGAGCUGUCCUUAGUACGAGAGGACCGGGAUGGACGCACCGCUGGUGUACCAGUUGUUCUGCCAAGGGCAUAGCUGGGUAGCUAUGUGCGGAAGGGAUAAGUGCUGAAAGCAUCUAAGCAUGAAGCCCCCCUCAAGAUGAGAUUUCCCAUAGCGUAAGCUAGUAAGAUCCCUGAAAGAUGAUCAGGUUGAUAGGUUCGAGGUGGAAGCAUGGUGACAUGUGGAGCUGACGAAUACUAAUAGAUCGAGGACUUAACCAUAUAA